UACUUGACCUAGAGCGGCGCACGGGUGCGUAACGCGUAUGCAACCUACCUUUUACUGGGGGAUAGCCCGGAGAAAUCUGGAUUAAUACCCCAUAGUACCUAAGGAUCGAUUGGUUUUUAGUUUAAAGAUUUAUCGGUAAAAGAUGGGCAUGCGUCUGAUUAGCUAGUUGGCGGGGUAACGGCCCACCAAGGCGACGAUCAGUAGGGGUUCUGAGAGGAAGGUCCCCCACACUGGCACUGAGAUACGGGCCAGACUCCUACGGGAGGCAGCAGUAGGGAAUAUUGGGCAAUGGUCGCAAGACUGACCCAGCCAUGCCGCGUGCAGGAAGACGGCCCUCUGGGUUGUAAACUGCUUUUAUCUGGGAAGAAAAAGUCCAUGCGUGGAAAAUUGCCGGUACCAGAUGAAUAAGCACCGGCUAACUCCGUGCCAGCAGCCGCGGUAAUACGGAGGGUGCAAGCGUUGUCCGGAUUUAUUGGGUUUAAAGGGUGCGUAGGCGGCUG
This 500-nucleotide ribosomal RNA is filed under the name uncultured Bacteroidota bacterium. RNAcentral describes it as "bacterial SSU rRNA". It matches the Rfam family "Bacterial small subunit ribosomal RNA", at positions 81 to 581 of the family's 1533-position model. The record is from RNAcentral. Lineage: Bacteria; Pseudomonadati; Bacteroidota.